AGUGAACGCUGGCGGCAGGCCUAAUACAUGCAAGUCGAACGGCAGCACAGUGGAGCUUGCUCCAUGGGUGGCGAGUGGCGGACGGGUGAGGAAUACAUGGGAAUCUGCCCAGUCGUGGGGGAUAACGUAUGGAAACGUACGCUAAUACCGCAUGCGCCCUUCGGGGGAAAGUCGGGGACCGCAAGGCCUGACGCGAUUGGAUGAGCCCAUGUUCGAUUAGCUAGUUGGCGGGGUAAAGGCCCACCAAGGCGACGAUCGAUAGCUGGUCUGAGAGGAUGAUCAGCCACACUGGAACUGAGACACGGUCCAGACUCCUACGGGAGGCAGCAGUAGGGGAAUAUUGGACAAUGGGGGCGAACCCUGAUCCAGCCAUGCCGCGUGAGUGAAGAAGGCCCUCGGGUUGUAAAGCUCUUUUGUCCGGAAAGAAAAGCAAUCGGUUAAUACCCGGUUGUCCUGACGGUACCGGAAGAAUAAGCACCGGCUAACUUCGUGCCAGCA
RNAcentral lists this ribosomal RNA (498 nucleotides) under uncultured bacterium. RNAcentral's name for it is "bacterial SSU rRNA". It matches the Rfam family "Bacterial small subunit ribosomal RNA", at positions 29 to 513 of the family's 1533-position model. The record is from RNAcentral.